CGGAUCAUAUAGGUUUAUUCAAUGUGUGAUCUAACAUUCAUACACGACACGUAAGUACUUAUUUCUUCUUUUUACUAAUAUUUAGCGAUAUAUGAUAGUUUUGUUGAACUAGAUUAAAACUAGAUGUUAACAUUUAAUCAUGUUAUUUUACCAAUUGAAGGUCAGAUUCAAAAGACAAUUGGAAACCAGAAUUUACAUGAUAUGUGCACAUGCUGAUAUUCAAAUUACUGUUAAAAUUUCAAGGUUGAUAGUUUGACUCUUUGAUGAACUGUGACAGAGCUAAAAUGUUUAAUUCUUUUUGCGUGCAAAAUACUAGUAUUAUUGAAAUACUUGUCACUGGACAUUAAUAAACAAAAAUCAUUCACCCCCGCGGUGGAUUAAGGGGACUGACUGUAAGACUUAGUAAACUAAGAACCCACGAUCCACUACAAGCGCAAGUUGGAAAUAGGGGUUGGCUAAUUAUUCAUACUGGUUGCAAGAUAAACUAUAUGAAUAUUAAAUUGAAGAAUAUUCAAAUUUCAUUUGAACUCCUUGCGAACCUAAUCGUGAUCAGGCUGAAGAGUUUACUUAUUGGCAAUCAUACCCCAUACGUUCAUAAAUAUAAGAAGAUGUGGUAUGAGUGACAUCUAAGUCACAAUUCGUAAAAUUAAAGCAUUAUAUAGGUCAGAAAUUGAAAACAACACGUUUAAUAAUUUCUUGCGUUUCGAAGCGCCUCUCUUGAUUUAACUUUAUCAGGGACGCUUAAAUCCAAACAUUUGAAAUCCGAGGAUGCAUAAGUACCGAAACCGUUGAAGAGCUAUAUGACAAAAGUACCUAAAAUAAAUAGCCAAAUUCAUUUAAAGUCAACUUUGCCUGAAGGUACACUAUUCAACACUAAGCCAUGAAGGGAACAAAACUUACCAGUGUAAAACCAUUCAGACAGGUAAAACAACGGUCUAAUUUAUAUAAAAAAAAAAAACAAACAAAAACACGAGAAAGAAGAAAAAUGAGGAACCACAUCAAUAAAUACAAUAAAAUGUACGAACAUUGCGUUCAUUUUCUUUAUGUGUUAAUUUAAAGUAUUAAGUCAAGAGAAAAUAUGUUAAAUAUUUGACGUGCAUUAAGACAUCUGUUCUGCUACAUUUAGGUCAAAUACUACAUCUUUUUGAUCCUUUCAUGAAAUUGCUGCAGUUUUCUAUAUGCUCACUAGACAGUAUUACCGUCUAUGAAUUCGUUCUUGUACUAAACUUGUUGCCUUCCUUUCGCACAAACAAGACAAAUUUCUGUCAAACAUAAAAUAUUUUUGUUCCAAUUAAAAUCUCGCCUUCAAUUGAGGUUAUGUGUUUUUAAAUAUACACUGCUAUAUAUGGCUAAUUAUUCUAUAAAAAUUAUCAAAGUUAUUUCCCUUACGCCUAUUGAAUGACAUCAACUAAACAUUAAUUUUUCUCUGAAAAUUGAAUGUAACAAAUAACUGUUACAAUUGAAAUUGAUUUCAGCGUCAUUGAUGCAUCUUAUGUAGACGAAACGCGAGUCUGGUGUAUUAAAUUAUAAUCCUGGUACCUUUGAUAACUAUUUACAUCACUGGGUCGAUGUCACUGCUAUUGAACGUUUUAUCCCCAAGAGUAUCACCAGCCCAGUAGUCGGCACUUCGGUGUUGACAUGCAUAUCAAUUGUAUUGUCAUUUCUAUAAAUUUCCUGUUACAAAACUUUGAAAUUUUCGAAAAACUAGAGAUUUUCUUAUCCCAGGAAUAGAAUAUAUCUAAGCCGUAUUUGGCACAACUUUUUGGAAUUUUGUGUCUUUAAUGCUCUUCAACUUAGUUCUUGUUUUGCUUUAUAACUAUUUUGAUCAGAGCGUCACUGAUGAGUCUUAUGUAGACGAAACGAGCGUCUGGCUUAUCAAAUUUAUAAUCCUGGUACCUUUGAUAACUAUAAUCAAAUAAUAUUCUUAUUUAUGGUAAAAGGUAUUUACCAAAGAGGGACGAAAGAUACCAAAGGGACAGUCAAACUCAUAAAUGGAAAAUAAACUGACAACGCCUGACUAAAACUGAAAGAAGACAAACAGAUACACAAUAGAACCCAUGACACAACAUAGAAAACUAAAGAAUAAGCAACACGAACCCCAAUAUAUAUGCCAAUAUAUAUGCUGCCUCGUAUAGUUUACAACGUUUGCAUAUAAAUGUUCUUAAAUUGUACCAUUAUAUUGCAUAGCCAGAAUUUUCAUCGAAGUCCCAGUUUGUUUUAAACGUACUUUUGUAAACAGAUUAACAUUGUUGUAUCUACUGCCUCAAUCAUCAGUAGUUUGCUGGCAAAAGAACCAUGUCCAUGCAUUAUCACAAUUAACAAGAAGAGUCAAAUUGAAAUAAAUGGACCGAGAUUCUGCGACAUACAUUACAAAAAAUAUAUAGUGAUUUCUGAAAUAUUUUAAUGUUUCAAUUAUUCUAUAAAAAAUAUCAAAGUUAUUUCCCUUACGUCUAUAGAAUGACACCAACUUAACAUUUACUUUUCUCUGAAAAAAGAAUGUAAAAAUUAAAUUUCAUUUCCGGAGCAUCUGAUUUCACUUCAGGUUUUUAGUGGAGUUCGUGUUGUUUCUUAAUUAAUAUUUAUAACUGUUGAUGUAAAUGUCCUUUGGUUUUGUGAGUCUUUGUUUACUCUUUGGUUUUAAUUGUUAUUGUCUUCAAAUCUUAUUCUUAUUAAUGGUAAAAUAUAUUUACCAAUAUAUGUGCUGCCUCUUAUACAUGUUAUAGUUUACAAAAUUUGCAUGUAACCGUCCUUAAAUUGUACCAUUAUAUUGCAUCGCAAGAAUUUUCUUCGAAGUCCUAGUUUGUUUUAAUAUGACUUUUUGUAAACAGCAUGAUUAAACUAAUUAUAUCUGCUGCCUCAACCAACAGUAGUUUGCAGCAAACGAAUUUUGUCCAUGCAUUAGCAUAGUUAAUGAAAACGCGGAAGAUGACUUGGGGACAUUCAAAGCUCAUAAGUCGAAGAGAAACUGACAACACCAUGGCAAAACCAAAACACUUAAAUCACGAAGUGUACAAAUAAGCUACACAGAAAACUAGCAACUGAACAGACAGGAACUUCACAAAACCGUGGAUGAUCUAAGGUGCACCGGAAUGGUAAGCAGAUUGUCAUGUGGCACCCGUUUGUUGCACAUGGUAAAUAGAUUUUGGCGACAGGAGGACGGGAUUGUGGUUACGACAAUUGACACAUUUCCGUGUUCAUCUUUACAAUCAUGCAGACAACAAUUAAUCGAACUGGACUUUGUCAUUAACUGAUUUGAAUUACAUUUUUUUGGCUUGAUGUAAAGUAAACAAAUAUAAAUAUAUUCAUAAAUGAUACCAACAAAAGCUUCAACAAACGCAUUUAAAGUACAUUAAAAUCUGUUAAACGAAAGAAUCAAAACCUAUUCAACAAAACGUUGAAUACUAGUAUUAACAAAAUAAGGUCGUUUCUAAUCAAUACAUUUGUGGUUUUGUACACGCCAUGAAACACUUAGUUUCAAAGGAAUUGAUGAAAAAGGAAAUGGAAGCGAUAUUCUAUCAUGUCAUCGAAGUUGGCUUCAACAUAUUGAAUAUUUACUCAUAUUAAAUUGUUUUAAUGUGAUAAAUUAACCAUGGCAUAGAUAUUGGUGGAUGUUUUUUCCUACGGCUACCAACUGUGCUUCGCGUUUUGCUAUAUUCAGACUUUAUCAUAAAUCCUGGAAACAUAGAGUGACUUUUAGAUGUCACGUUUCUUCAUAUAAAUGAUUUCCUCUCACUUACAUCUAUACCAUAAAACUUCAACUAAAUGAAACCACAGAUGCAGUCAACUGUGCAUCAUAUACUGAAUUUUAUCUACAAAUGGUCGAUGCGGGUAGUUUAAGAAUAAAAUAAAUCACAAAAGAUGAUUACAGUUUUACAAAUAUUUAACUUCCCACUUCAAUGUUGCAACAUUUAGGGAGUGUAUAGACAGUGAAUUUAUAUUAACUAUUCCACAGUUUGCGUUUCCUGUCAAGAUUUUCUUCAUAGAGGAUUGAAACUCACAAGUAAAGGUGAAGUCAUCCCUUCGAAUGUUUUACGGACAUAGUCGAAAGUUGGUUGAUUGUAAUGGAAUAUCUUUGUCACAGUUGACCAUAGAUGUUUAGAUUGUGGGGAUUUUUAUCUGCUAGGGACCAGCAAUUUUACGACAUUUUUCAAAAUCAAACAUUUCUUUUCAAUAAGAUAAAGGUACAAGACCUUUUUUUGACUUGAUAUUGAAUUAUUUUACCCAUAAUUCAUUUCUCAUCUGAAACCAUUUUUGUUCUCAAAAACUUUAAAUCAAAUAAUUUAUUUAUAAAAAAAAAAACAUGCUACCGAGACUGACUAACGAAAGAUAAGUUUUUGAGGCCUUGUGACAAUAGAAUUUUAGUAAUCAGGUUAAGGCUAUACUAGUCUUUUUAUAAAUUCAAAAUACAUACUAAUCUUUGUAAUUUAAAAGAAUUUCACCCUUCUAAAUCAGGAUAUCAGGGCAUCUGGUAUAUAAUUUUAAUCUGUAUAUUUAUAUGAUAUUAAUGAUGGUGUAAUUUCAAACUUGUAUUACAAAAUAGAAUACUCUAUAUCAGUACAUCGCUUUCAUUUACAUAUUAAUAGUAUCGUUUGCAGUCUAAGCAUUUUUUUAAUUCAGAAAGUUGCGAUAUAGAAAAUUACGAUCUAUUUUUUAUUUAGAAAGUUACGAAAUGGAAAAUUUCGAUCACCAACCAAUCAUUAUUUUUAAAACGUGAGGAAAAAAGUUUAUACAGGAAAUAAAUAGAUUUCAUUUGGAUUUCAUGGAUUUUGUUAUUUUGUUUAGCUAUUUCUUUUGUUUUAAGACUAUCAUAUAUAUUGAAAAAUUACUUUUUAAUUUAAAAAGUUACGAAAUAGAUAAUCACGAUCCCUAACAGAUCUUGCUUCGGCACAGGUAAUGAAAUACGUUUCAUACAAGACCCGCUAGACCACUCGAUCAUCUGUGUAGAGCCUUGGUGAUCGAGUGGUCUCAGUUAAACGAUAUCUCAGUAGCAAGAAUAAAGGCAACAGUAGUAUAGCACUGUUCAAAAUUCAUAAAUCGAUUGAGAGAAAAAAACAAAUCCGGGUUACAAACUAAAACUGAUGGAAACACAUUAAAUAUAACAGGAGAACUACGCCACAACAGAAAUACAAUACUAAAAUGUAACACACACAGAAACGAGCUAUAAUAUAAUAAUGAAUAUUUUCCUGACUUGGUACAGGGCAUUUUAAGAAAAAAUAAUGGGUUGAACCUGGUUUUGUGGCUAGCAAAACCUCGCACUUUUAUAACAUGAGUUCGAAAUACGGUUUGUCCAUAUAUUGUGAAUAGCAGUAGUAUACGGUAUGUCUUCUUAUUGUACAAAUAGACUAGACUAUUGUAUGUCCUUGUAUCGUAAAAAAAGAACGGGACUACUGUAUUUCUAUAGUUUGUAAAUAAAACCAAUUAAAAUAUCGCUAGUCUUUAUAUUGUGAAAAAAGACCGAAAUAAUGCGUGUCCAUCAAUUAUAAAAGUGAUCGGGAUUCCGAAUGUCGUGAUAUUAGAAAAAAAAAAAAACAUAAACGAAACUGAAAAUAUCAUGUAUAUUGCAGAAGGAGGACUGGACACGUUAAAAGAAGGACCGAACAACUACAUGUAUUUAUAUUGUGAAAACAACAUUUUUGUUGUUAUAUUAUAUAAACAUACGGUAUUUUGUGCAAAAUGACUGAAAUAAGGUGUGCAGUUAUAUUGACAAAUAUGACGGGAA
Molecule: long non-coding RNA, 5719 nt
Filed under: Mytilus galloprovincialis (Mediterranean mussel)
Lineage: Eukaryota; Metazoa; Mollusca; Bivalvia; Mytilida; Mytilidae
Source: RNAcentral